UACGAAGGGGCUAGCGUUGCUCGGAAUUACUGGGCGUAAAGCGCACGUAGGCGGCUUCUAAGUCGGGGGUGAAAUCCUGGAGCUCAACUCCAGAACUGCCUUCGAUACUGGAAGCUCGAGUCCGGGAGAGGUGAGUGGAACUGCGAGUGUAGAGGUGAAAUUCGUAGAUAUUCGCAAGAACACCAGUGGCGAAGGCGGCUCACUGGCCCGGUACUGACGCUGAGGUGCGAAAGCGUGGGGAGCAAACAGG
Molecule: ribosomal RNA, 250 nt
Filed under: uncultured bacterium
Lineage: Bacteria
Description: partial 16S ribosomal RNA
Rfam family: Bacterial small subunit ribosomal RNA
Source: RNAcentral